GAAAGUAAAGAACAAAUAUAAACAAGUAAACAUGCAAAAAAUCACAUAAUGACACAAAGUCAACAAAACAAUCCCUUCCCUUGGAUUUAGACAAAAUUAAAUUAAAAUGAUAAAGAAAAGUAUUUUUUUGUAUUUUGUUAUUUCUGAUAAAAGAAAACAAAGAAAUAUGUUUUUUUUGAGAUUUUUAGAUAUUUUUAAUAAUAUAUAUAAGAAUAAGAAAGGAAAUAAAAUAAAGGGGUUUUUAAACAAAAAGGCAGAGGAGGGUGCAAGAAUGGGUUCUGGAGGUGAAACAAUAGCAAUCUGCAACACCAGGCCCAGCCCAAGAUCCAAUUCGUCCAAACAAAAAAUAAGCAGAAAAAUAAUCCAGUGUGACAUGAGAACAGAGGUGCACAGUAGACGUCACGGAUCUGAGCCUUUUGAUUAAAUCAUGUGGCUGUGAUUUAAAAAUCACAUAACAGAUCUCAGCCCUUGGAUCUUUAAAAUAAAAUCAAACAGUUUAAGGAUCCAGUGUGGCAUGAGAACAGAGGCACACGUGGACGUCAUGGAUCUGAGCCUUUUGAUUAAAUCAUGUGGCUAUGAUUUAAAAAUCACAUAACAGAUCUCAGCCCUUGGAUCUUAAAAAUAAAAUCAAACGGUUUAAGGUUCCAGUGUGGCAUGAGAACAGAGGCGCACGUGGACGUCAUAGAUCUGAGCCCUUUGAUUAAAUCAUGCGGCCAGGAUUUAAAAAUCCUAUAACAGAUCUCGGUCCCUGGAUUAAUCGAACGGACGCGUUUUAAACUAAAAGGAAACACUAACGGGAUGACACGUGGUCAUCCCUAACCUCAAGCUUCUUCUUCCUUGCGCUGAAGAACAGCAAGGGCGGCCAUGGAAGAGCUUUGGAAGCUCACGGCCCAACAACAACUUCAUCAAAACAUCAUCAAAAAUUAUAAAUGAGUAUAUUAUUUUGUUCGAAAUUUCACAUAGAUCAUGAAUAUAAACUUAGAUUUUUCAAUAGAUGUUUAUAUCUCAGAAAAAAGUUCGAAACUUUAAAAACCCAAAAAACUUUAAAAUUCACAUUUGUACGAAUUAAACAAAAUCAAGAGUUGGAAAAGCUUCAGUGGGUGUUCAUGAGUAAAAAACGUUUAGAACUUACUUGUUUUGAGCCUUGCUUAGAUGGGUUAACACCUACUCUUUUCUUUGCUAUUUUGAACCUUGGGUAAGCUUCUCUCAACGGUUUUCCUUCGUUUUUUCUUGUGUGUUUCGCUACUGGUAUGUGUUAGAAGGGAUUGGUGAAAGAAAAUUGAAGUUUGAGGGUGGUUUGAAUGAAUUUCGAAAAAUGGAAGAAAGUGAUGAAAAUGUGAGAUUUUUUUAUCGUUUAUUUUCUUCCUCUGAUCUUCCCCCUGUUUCAAUUCUGCUGGAUCAAUUUAUAGGCAAAUUUAGGGUUUCUUUAUCCAUUGGAUUGAAGUGU
Molecule: long non-coding RNA, 1447 nt
Filed under: Trifolium pratense (red clover)
Lineage: Eukaryota; Viridiplantae; Streptophyta; Magnoliopsida; Fabales; Fabaceae
Description: long non-coding RNA (TPRA_LNC005497)
Source: RNAcentral